AUCAUCAAAGAUUGGUUUGACUUCAGUAGAUAAAUCUUACUUGACUAACAAAUGUGUGCCGAUUUUCUUUUGGUUUUAUAAUUACUUUUUUUUUCCUUUUCUUCAGAAAAUAAACAUGAAAUACGUAAGUAAAAUAAAGUAGGAUAACUUUAUAAAAUAUGAUACAUUUGCAUUCUGUGUUCACUAAAAUGUUUUUAGGAAAAACUGUUUUUGGUCAAAGUAACUUUUCUUUACUGAUUUCACCUUCCUUGCCCCAAAAAUGCUAAAAAAUAUAGAAAAAAAGUUAAACCUUAGCGAUGUUCCAGAUAUGAAGUAUUGCUAGGUUGGCCCUAGGUUGCAGUAUCCUUUCCUUGUUUACAGUGGAUAUGUACUGUAUGGUAGGCACACAGGAUUUUAUGUGUGCUAAAGUAGAGGCAGUAGACAGUGUGCUGGAGAAUUUAUCUAUAUUGCACUUUCUGUUAUAUAUUCCUGCCUUUAUUAUUAUCUUUUCCUUGGCAUCUAGAUCUUAGGUGUGCUGAGAGAUAGGCAGAUAACCUAUCUGUGUCUCUGGGAUAUUGUGCUAACCUAGGGACAGUGAAAGGUUUAGGAAAUUCUCUGCUAUAUGUCUGUUUCUUACCUUUAUCCACCUGUAUCCCUGCUACUCCUUUGUUCAGCCUAUUUUGUUACUUCUUACUUCUCUAAUGCAGGGCCAGUGCAAGGAUUCUUGCCGCCCUAGGCAACAAUCCAUUUUGCCGCCCCCUCAUGAAUGAAACUACAUUCUUUCAGAAGUUUAUUCACUAAAUGCUGAAUUGCAAAAGAGUGAUAUUUAGGGAAGGAGACACAUUAGACAUUAAAGGGACACUAUAGGCAUCCAGACCACUUCAGCUCAUUGAAAUGGUCUGGGUGCGGUGUCCCUAUUGCACUUAGUGUUGUAAUGUAAAACAUUUCAGUUUUAGAGAAACUGCAAUGUUUACAUUGCAGCACUAAGUCUGCCUCCAGUGGCUGUCUGCUAGACAGCCACUGGACCGCUUCCUAGAUGUUAACGGACUUUUGGUCUGGUUACUGAUGCUGGACGUCCUCAUGCUCUGUAUGAGGACAUCAAGCAUCAGAUAGAUUUCCAUAGGAAAGCAUUGAUUCAGUCCUUUGCUAUGGGGAGAGCCUAAUGCACGUGGCAUGCGCAUUUGGGCCCCCUCAUCAGUAGGACAUAUCUGAUGGUCCAUGUGUAAUAAAGACCAUUUUGAUCAUGUUAUAUUACUGACACAUACAAUAUAUUGAUUCCUUAAUUUAUUUUGUACCCUCUCCGUCUCUCGAUAUAUAUAAUAAUUAACUGACAGUGAAUAUGUCAACUAUGGACAUUUGUUUCAUUUGGCCUUUUCCAGGUUAUUUACCAAAGUGAGAAUUCAAAGUGAAUUUAAGUAGUCGUGUUUGACUUGGUCCUUUCAUAGCAUUAAAAACAUUAUUGAAUUUCAGAAAUUUUUGUAUCACUAAUUAAAAGUGUUGUAUUUUUUCCAGGUAUACUUAAAAGAUACUAUGCUGCAUCUAAAGGUGAAUUGUGAUUUCCAAGUGAUCUAAACAUUGAUCAAGUGAUCUACACUGCAUGUAGACACCCACAUAUGUUCAUAAACAAGCUUAAGGGUUCCCAUCUGACCUAUGUAUUUUAUUACACCAUCAAGAUAUUUUUUUAAUAUCGGACAUAGUUAAAGAUGAGGCGAUGUGUUAAGUUUUACACUGGGUGGUCAAAGUUUGGUUACACUUGGUGACAGCUGUUUAAGCAUUUAUGAUCAGAUAAGAUAAGCAGACAAGGCAUUUAGGUCAAGAGUUUCGCAAAAUACAAUCCUGCUUAUUGUUCCUAAAUAGGUUCCUUACUCCGAACCUAUUUAAUAAUAUGUAUUAUUUCCGCAUUGUUAUAUGGCCUUUAGAUCUGCACACAAGUCUUUGUCAAUGUCUUUUUAAUAUUACAUACUAUGGUUUAAAUAUACAGGGAGUGCAGAAUUAUUAGGCAAAUGAGUAUUUUGACCACAUCAUCCUCUUUAUGCAUGUUGUCUUACUCCAAGCUGUAUAGGCUCGAAAGCCUACUACCAAUUAAGCAUAUUAGGUGAUGUGCAUCUCUGUAAUGAGAAGGGGUGUGGUCUAAUGACAUCAACACCCUAUAUCAGGUGUGCAUAAUUAUUAGGCAACUUCCUUUCCUUUGGCAAAAUGGGUCAAAGAAGGACUUGACAGGCUCAGAAAAGUCAAAAAUAGUGAGAUAUCUUGCAGAGGGAUGCAGCACUCUUAAAAUUGCAAAGCUUCUGAAGCGUGAUCAUCGAACAAUCAAGCGUUUCAUUCAAAAUAGUCAACAGGGUCGCAAGAAGCGUGUGGAAAAACCAAGGCGCAAAAUAACUGCCCAUGAACUGAGAAAAGUCAAGCGUGCAGCUGCCACUGCCACUUGCCACCAGUUUGGCCAUAUUUCAGAGCUGCAACAUCACUGGAGUGCCCAAAAGCACAAGGUGUGCAAUACUCAGAGACAUGGCCAAGGUAAGAAAGGCUGAAAGACGACCACCACUGAACAAGACACACAAGCUGAAACGUCAAGACUGGGCCAAGAAAUAUCUCAAGACUGAUUUUUCUAAGGUUUUAUGGACUGAUGAAAUGAGAGUGAGUCUUGAUGGGCCAGAUGGAUGGGCCCGUGGCUGGAUUGGUAAAGGGCAGAGAGCUCCAGUCCGACUCAGACGCCAGCAAGGUGGAGGUGGAGUACUGGUUUGGGCUGGUAUCAUCAAAGAUGAGCUUGUGGGGCCUUUUCGGGUUGAGGAUGGAGUCAAGCUCAACUCCCAGUCCUACUGCCAGUUCCUGGAAGACACCUUCUUCAAGCAGUGGUACAGGAAGAAGUCUGCAUCCUUCAAGAAAAACAUGAUUUUCAUGCAGGACAAUGCUCCAUCACACGCGUCCAAGUACUCCACAGCGUGGCUGGCAAGAAAGGGUAUAAAAGAAGAAAAUCUAAUGACAUGGCCUCCUUGUUCACCUGAUCUGAACCCCAUUGAGAACCUGUGGUCCAUCAUCAAAUGUGAGAUUUACAAGGAGGGAAACAGUACACCUCUCUGAACAGUGUCUGGGAGGCUGUGGUUGCUGCUGCACGCAAUGUUGAUGGUGAACAGAUCAAAACACUGACAGAAUCCAUGGAUGGCAGGCUUUUGAGUGUCCUUGCAAAGAAAGGUGGCUAUAUUGGUCACUGAUUUGUUUUUGUUUUGUUUUUGAAUGUCAGAAAUGUAUAUUUGUGAAUGUUGAGAUGUUAUAUUGGUUUCACUGGUAAUAAUAAAUAAUUGAAAUGGGUAUAUAUUUGUUUUUUGUUAAGUUGCCUAAUAAUUAUGCACAGUAAUAGUCACCUGCACACACAGAUAUCCCCCUAACAUAGCUAAACUAAAAACAAACUAAAAACUACUUCCAAAAAUAUUCAGCUUUGAUAUUAAUGAGUUUUUUGGGUUCAUUGAGAACAUGGUUGUUGUUCAAUAAUAAAAUUAAUCCUCAAAAAUACAACUUGCCUAAUAAUUCUGCACUCCCUGUAUAUAUCAUAUUUAAUAUAAUACCCAAUUGUCCAAAGUUGUACCAAACGUUAAUUAUAUAUUUCUGUGUCGUAAAAAAAUACAACAAAACAAAACAAUGCAAUGAUGUUUAAAGCCUGUAAUAAUAAUAUAACUUAUUAUGAUUAACAGUGUCGGUGAACCUAGAUCCUGCAACUGUACAUGGUAAUAUCACCGUAUCAGAAAAUGGAACAAGUGCCAGAUAUCAGAGAGAACCGUCUGGCACAAGUCUCGAAGAUUUUUGUGUGCGAAGUGUUAAUGCAUUACCCAAAGGAAUUUUGUAUUUGGAUUUGGAGAUAGAAGAUACCUUGUGCACGAUUGGAAUUUGCAAAUUCAUAGAGAGAGAAGAAUCAAGAGUAGUAAACACAAACGACAAGAUAUGUGAAAUACAAAUCUCGAACCUUAAUAGCUCAGACACUAAUAAAGGACCUCAUCGGUUACGAAUGUAUUUACAUUUUAAACUAAAAUACCUGACAAUUCUUAGUCUGGACACCUUGGAAUACCAAACAACAGAAAAAUUCCUAAAAUAUGAUGAAGACAUAUACCUCUUUAUAGCACUAAAGGGAAAUAAUACAAUUAAAUUAUGUUAACGGUAGGAAAAAAAAUCUUUAUGCCAAAGAUCACAGUGUAGAGUCUCUCUUUACAAUAUACUCCACGAGGAUUUCACCAUAAAAUAAGGAACUUGCUGUGCAAGAUGACAUUUUUCUUCAACCCAUAAAUUGCUUUACAAUAUCUAUAAACUUGUAUAAAAUCUUCUGGAUUUUUUUUUUUUUUUUUUUAAAGUGCUACACCAAAAAAAGCUGCCUUUACAGUAUUGACAUUUUAUUCUUUCAACUAUUGAUUCUUUGGUGAAGAUUCAUGUUGCUAAAGAGACGUUAUGAAUGCAGCAUAUUGUAGUUGUUAUGGUGCAAUGAUUCUAAGCAUUGUGUCCUUCUGAUCUCUGAACAUCCUUUCAGCACAUUAUCACUCCUGUUUUUUUAUUUUGUAAAUUGUAUUAUAAUAAAUGUAUUUCUACAUAA
Non-coding RNA from Pelobates cultripes (western spadefoot toad), 4552 nucleotides. The record is from the annotation of a GenBank genome assembly. Lineage: Eukaryota; Metazoa; Chordata; Amphibia; Anura; Pelobatidae.